This 253-nucleotide ribosomal RNA is filed under the name uncultured bacterium. Its description in RNAcentral is "partial 16S ribosomal RNA". It matches the Rfam family "Bacterial small subunit ribosomal RNA", at positions 524 to 776 of the family's 1533-position model. The record is from RNAcentral.
UACGGAGGGUGCAAGCGUUAUCCGGAAUCACUGGGUUUAAAGGGUGCGUAGGCGGCUUGGUAAGUCAGAGGUGAAAGCUUCCCGCUCAACGGGAGAACUGCCUUUGAUACUGCCAGGCUCGAAUUGGGUUGAGGCGGGCGGAAUGUGGCAUGUAGCGGUGAAAUGCUUAGAUAUGCCAUAGAACACCGAUUGCGAAGGCAGCCCGCCAAGCCUUGAUUGACGCUGAGGUGCGAAAGCGUGGGGAUCAAACAGG